Molecule: ribosomal RNA, 305 nt
Filed under: uncultured bacterium
Lineage: Bacteria
Description: bacterial SSU rRNA
Rfam family: Bacterial small subunit ribosomal RNA
Source: RNAcentral
UUUGCCUACGGGAGGCAGCAGUGGGGAAUAUUGCACAAUGGGGGAAACCCUGAUGCAGCGACGCCGCGUGAGUGAAGAAGUAUUUCGGUAUGUAAAGCUCUAUCAGCAGGGAAGAAGUUGACGGUACCUGAGUAAGAAGCCCCGGCUAACUACGUGCCAGCAGCCGCGGUAAUACGUAGGGGGCAAGCGUUAUCCGGAUUUACUGGGUGUAAAGGGAGCGUAGACGGCAGUGCAAGUCUGAAGUGAAAGCCCCGGGCUUAACCCGGGAAUUGCUUUGGAAACUGUACGGCUGGAGUGCUGGAGAG